GCUGGGUGUUGUGGUGGGCACUUGUAGUCCCAGCUACUUGGGAGGCUGAGGCAGGAGGAUCACUUGAGCCCAGGAGUCUGAGGUUGCUGUGAGCUAUGGCACCACUGCACUCUACCCAGGGCAACAGAGUGAGACUCUGUCUCAA
This 145-nucleotide non-coding RNA is filed under the name Otolemur garnettii (small-eared galago). The record is from Rfam by way of RNAcentral. Lineage: Eukaryota; Metazoa; Chordata; Mammalia; Primates; Galagidae.